Non-coding RNA from Camellia sinensis, 428 nucleotides. The record is from RefSeq and is a predicted model, not a curated record. NCBI's taxonomy places the organism in Eukaryota, Viridiplantae, Streptophyta, Magnoliopsida, Ericales, Theaceae.
AGUGAGAGGCAAUAGCAAGGCCAACCAUGCACAAGAUAUUCCAAGAGGGACCCCCCCAAUGCCUGCUGAAUGUGUGACACAGGUCACACAACAUCAUAUGACUUAGCUAAGUUGUUGAUAUUUUGGGUACAAGGAUUAACAUAGGUUGAAGGUAUAAAAUAUAUGUUGCUUGACUGUAUAGUUAGUGAGGAUCAUGUUCCACUUUUUUGUAUUUUUGUAAUGGACAUGCAAUGCUAAGAAUAGCAAUAUGAUGAUGUGGCCAUUUUUGUUUUUUUGUAGUGGCCAUGAAGUAUUUUAUAACUGAUGAUGUAACUGAACAUAUCUGAUAGGAAUGAUGUAAGUAAACUACUUGAACAUAUUUUACAACAAUCAUGAUGUAAUUAAACAGGUGCAUAUUUAUGGAAUGGUUUUACUUGCUGUUUAGAUUA